This 920-nucleotide ribosomal RNA is filed under the name uncultured bacterium. RNAcentral's name for it is "bacterial SSU rRNA". It matches the Rfam family "Bacterial small subunit ribosomal RNA", at positions 1 to 915 of the family's 1533-position model. The record is from RNAcentral.
CCUUAGAGUUUGAUCCUGGCUCAGGAUGAACGCUAGCUACAGGCUUAACACAUGCAAGUCGAGGGGAAACGAUAGAGAAAGCUUGCUUUUUCUAGGCGUCGACCGGCGCACGGGUGAGUAACGCGUAUCCAACCUGCCCACCACUUGGGGAUAACCUUGCGAAAGUAAGACUAAUACCCAAUGAUAUCUCUAGAAGACAUCUGAAGGAGAUUAAAGAUUUAUCGGUGAUGGAUGGGGAUGCGUCUGAUUAGCUUGUUGGCGGGGUAACGGCCCACCAAGGCAACGAUCAGUAGGGGUUCUGAGAGGAAGGUCCCCCACAUUGGAACUGAGACACGGUCCAAACUCCUACGGGAGGCAGCAGUGAGGAAUAUUGGUCAAUGGACGAGAGUCUGAACCAGCCAAGUAGCGUGCAGGAUGACGGCCCUAUGGGUUGUAAACUGCUUUUAUAAGGGAAUAAAGUGAGUCUCGUGAGGCUUUUUGCAUGUACCUUAUGAAUAAGGACCGGCUAAUUCCGUGCCAGCAGCCGCGGUAAUACGGAAGGUCCGGGCGUUAUCCGGAUUUAUUGGGUUUAAAGGGAGCGUAGGCAGGAGAUUAAGCGUGUUGUGAAAUGUAGAUGCUCAACAUCUGCACUGCAGCGCGAACUGGUUUCCUUGAGUACGCACAAAGUGGGCGGAAUUCGUGGUGUAGCGGUGAAAUGCUUAGAUAUCACGAAGAACUCCGAUUGCGAAGGCAGCUCACUGGAGCGCAACUGACGCUGAAGCUCGAAAGUGCGGGUAUCGAACAGGAUUAGAUACCCUGGUAGUCCGCACGGUAAACGAUGGAUGCCCGCUGUUGGUCUGAAUAGGUCAGCGGCCAAGCGAAAGCAUUAAGCAUCCCACCUGGGGAGUACGCCGGCACGGUGAAACUCAAAUGAAUUGACG